Salmo salar (Atlantic salmon) is the source of this 743-nucleotide non-coding RNA. The record is from RefSeq and is a predicted model, not a curated record. NCBI's taxonomy places the organism in Eukaryota, Metazoa, Chordata, Actinopteri, Salmoniformes, Salmonidae.
GGGGGCACGAGGAGGAGGGAGAUUUGAUUUCAUCAAGACAGAGCUAGCCCGUCCCCCUCCACCCUGCCGGAGUCCCCUGGUCACAACUCUCCUGGUAGCACCUUACUGCUGGGUCUGAAGAGGGUGUCAGUGCGGCUGGUCAACUGCAGGAAAACACCAGGGCAGAGUGGAACUGUGAGAGAAGGACACGAGGAGGGAGAUUUGAAUUCAUCAAGGGACAGCACUAACCAUUCUCUCAGUUGGAGGGGCAUGUCAUCUGCGGAGCCUCAACAACAUUGUUGCUGACGAGACAGAGAAGUGUCUCUAUAGAUCAGAACACCCCAAGAAACACCAGCAGAGACGUAUAGGGAAGAAACCUCAACACUGCUGCUCUGACUGUGGGAAGAGUUUCACUAGCAGGAGUGACUUCAUUAUUCACCAGUGGAUUCACCCCCGAGAGAAACCGUACUGCUGCUCUCAGUGCGGGAAGAGUUUCACUGCUUCUAACGCCUUCCAAUCUCGCCUGCAAAUUCAUGCAGGGGAGAGGCCUUACCCUUGCCUUGAUUGUGGAAAGAGCUUCAAUCAGUCAAGCAACCUGACUACACACCAGCUAACACAAACUGGAGUGAAGCCUUACAGCUGUGAUCAUUGUGGAAAGAGCUUCAGUCAAUCAUUAAACCUGAAAACACACCAGCUAACACACACUGGAGAGAAACAUUAAAUAGACAUACAGUACCAGUCAAAAGUUUGGACACACCUACACA